Molecule: long non-coding RNA, 697 nt
Organism: Leopardus geoffroyi (Geoffroy's cat)
Lineage: Eukaryota; Metazoa; Chordata; Mammalia; Carnivora; Felidae
Exons: 2
Source: RefSeq, a predicted model, not a curated record
AAUAAGAAGGCAAGUAUGAGAAAGUGUCACAAGAGAAGCCUUAGGAGACAUGAUGACUAAAUGUACUGUGGUACUCUAGGAUGUAUGCUGGGACAGAAAAAAAAGACAUUAGUUACAACCUUAUACACAUAAAUGGGAAAGGAAAAACACAUUUUUCUUCUGACAAUUUCAAUCCAUUGAUGGGAGAGCUGGUGGAGGUACAAAAGCAGCAAGAUGAAGCGCUGUGGACAGCUUCUGAAAAGAAGAUGUGAAGAUGUCUCUGGAACAGACUUCCAACUAAAGAACAAACGUCACAGACGCAGAGUAACUCCUUUGGUAACACUGCCUACUAAACCCUUCAGAGUGUACCUUUGAAUUUGUGAGUGGGACUGGAAGUAGGGAGAGAGAAGAAACAAAAGAUGAGCAUCUUCCCUUUGUCACAAUGGUCCUGUGACCUAACUUCGAUAUCAUCAAUCUCACAAUAUGUGGAUUAGCAACAUGUCACUCUGGAGCUAGGUCAGCCCUGGCCAUCUUUUCAAUUGCCCAAGCAGGUCCUAAUAGGCCAAAUAAGUGGACGGUGGCACAAGUUUCAGCUUAGGAAAAACUCACCUUCAUUUCCAUAAUCUAUCUCACACCACAGCUAAAGUCUUCAUCUGGAAACUUUUCUAUGCUGUGUCUGCUAUCAUGUAAUUUUUCCCAAUUAAUUUUUUCACAUCCU